UCCCGAUGCUAUUCUAGAGAUAGAAAGUUACUUCGGUACAUCGGUGACAGGUGGUGCAUGGUUGUCGUCAGGCUCGUGUCGUGAGAUGUUGGGUUAAGCCCCGCAACGAGCGCAACCCCUGUCCCAUGUUGCCAGCAUUAAGUUGGGGACUCAUGGGAGACUGCCGGCGUCAAGCCGGAGGAAGUGGGGAUGACGUCAAGUCAUCAUGCCCCUUAUGUCUAGGGCUACACACGUGUUACAAUGGUGAGUACAAAGAGAUGCAAGACCGCAAGGUGGAGCCAAACUCAAAAACUCAUCCCAGUUCGGAUUGUAGGCUGCAACUCGCCUACAUGAAGCCGGAAUCGCUAGUAAUCGCGGAUCAGCAUGCCGCGGUGAAUACGUUCCCGGGCCUU
This 392-nucleotide ribosomal RNA is filed under the name uncultured Clostridium sp. RNAcentral's name for it is "bacterial SSU rRNA". It matches the Rfam family "Bacterial small subunit ribosomal RNA", at positions 987 to 1382 of the family's 1533-position model. Lineage: Bacteria; Bacillati; Bacillota; Clostridia; Eubacteriales; Clostridiaceae. The record is from RNAcentral.